Molecule: long non-coding RNA, 1493 nt
Organism: Motacilla alba alba
Lineage: Eukaryota; Metazoa; Chordata; Aves; Passeriformes; Motacillidae
Exons: 2
Source: RefSeq, a predicted model, not a curated record
GCUGCAGUUUCCCUGUAGCACCACUGCAAUGGAGUUCAGCCCUAAUGCGUGUAGUUUUAAGUCAAGUCUGUAAUCCACUAACACAUGCAUCUUGAUUAGAUCAAGAUCAUUGUUCAGUAGCUGCAGGGAGUCCAUGAAGUCACCCAGGCCACCAGAACUGCGUGUAACAGGCAAAGAAUAUAAAAAACCUAAGUGCAUGGAGCUGGAGGAGCUGCUCCUUUUGCUGUAGAUACUCAAGACCAGGAUCUAAGUCCCAAGAGGACAUAGAGCUGCCUGUGAUAUAUUGAGGAAAAGAACUGUUCAAGAACUUCAUAACUUCAUGCUGAGGUAAAAACCCAAGAUGAGCUCAACUAAGCCAGGAUUCAAAAAAAAAAAAAUCUAAAGAUGUUAAACAUUUUAACAUUCUUAAUAGUUUACAUAAUGUGAGCCAUUAAAUACUUCAGUGCUGGGAGCUGGUAAAAGAGUUAUUUGAACAAGGUAGUUUAAAUUUAAAGCCUAAUAUUUACCAGGAAAAUAUGCACACUGUCACAAAUAAAUGUAAUACAGUAAUGUCCAGGAAUUGAUACUCAUUCAGAGAAGUCAUCUAGGAAAAGAAAAUGCUGAAUGCAUCACAGAGGAUGGAAGUUUUUAUUGUAUUAUUGAUAUACUCAAUAUAAUAUAUAGAAGAAUACCAGAUAAUCAUCUAUCUUGACUGUGUAAAACUAACUUUGUCAAUUACUUGGAGCACCACAUUCUGAAGAAACAUGCAAACAAACAAACAAAAAGGAGAAAGUUCCCUAAUAAAUUCAUGCCAUUUAUAAAUCAAUACAGAGUUAAAGCUUGAAAUCCUUGGUGAUGUUUCUUGACUCCCAAGCUUUUCCCACCAGAUUUUCUAUUGCACUUCAAGUUUUUAGACAGGUUCCAGUAGAGUGGAACAAUUCCAAUAGAAUACCUUUAGUAAUUUGUGUCAACAUUUUACAACUCUAGAGAAGGAAUGCCUUCUAGGUAACAGCACAGCUCAGGCUGUACAAUCAAGCAAAAUGAUGCAUUACACUUGUGCUCACAGUGUUGUCCUUCAUAAAAGUGGUCACUGAAAUUUGAAAUCUGACAUUCAAAACUCCAAAGUCAAAGUAAGGAUCACCAUGUGUCCACUCACAAGGACAGAAUGGAUGGGAUCAAACACAGUUUUCAAAAAGGAAUCGUUUUUCCUACUCCACCUUCAAGCAUUUGGUAAUGUCCUGUCUUGCAAAGGCCCAAACUCAUGGACUUUGGUCACUUCAGACACCUCUGCUUUGCAGUGAAUCUUUCUACCUAGGAAGACAUAACCUCAGUCCCGUACCAAAUAUCUGCAUUAUUAGUCUUCACUACUUGCAAGGACUGGCAAAUUCCACAAUGAUCACAAAUUGUUCUUCUUGGAACUUUGCAUUUUGUGCGCACUAGCCUAUAAAACAACAUAGAUUUUUAACACUCUAAAAGCUGAGUAGCUUUCUUUUUUUCUCCCUUUUCCUAAAAGG